AGCGAACGCUGGCGGCAGGCUUAACACAUGCAAGUCGAGCGGGCAUCCUUGUGGUGUCAGCGGCAGACGGGUGAGUAACGCGUGGGAACGUGCCCUUCGGUUCGGAAUAACUCAGGGAAACUUGAGCUAAUACCGGAUACGUGCGAGAGCAGAAAGGUUUAUCUGCCGAAGGAUCGGCCCGCGUCUGAUUAGCUAGUUGGUGAGGUUACGGCUCACCAAGGCGACGAUCAGUAGCUGGUCUGAGAGGAUGAUCAGCCACACUGGGACUGAGACACGGCCCAGACUCCUACGGGAGGCAGCAGUGGGGAAUAUUGGAAAAUGGGGGCAACCCUGAUCCAGCCAUGCCGCGUGAGUGAUGACGGCCUUAGGGUUGUAAAGCUCUUUUCUCCGGGACGAUAAUGACGGUACCGGAGGAAUAAGCCCCGGCUAACUUCGUG
Molecule: ribosomal RNA, 437 nt
Filed under: uncultured bacterium
Lineage: Bacteria
Description: partial 16S ribosomal RNA
Rfam family: Bacterial small subunit ribosomal RNA
Source: RNAcentral